UCUGCUGGCUUAGCAGAUGAUGUUUGUAAAUGUAUGGAAAACACCCUAGCUCAAAAUGCAUUUAUAUUUUCAGGUAGAGGUGGUACUGUUAGCAUGAAGAGUGAAUGUAGAUAUGUAGAGGACCACAGAGAGAGUUCCAUUAUCAACCAGCCAAUUGACAAAUUGUGACAUGAAUGCUUCUUUUAGUGUUCAUAGUCUUAUCUAUUCAUAAUAUUCUUGCAGAACGGACAGUCAACAUGGAUUGACUGCUAUGCUAUCAUAUUUUGAAAGCAGAAAGGGCUAUCAACCCAUUACCCUAAGAUGAUUGUAUUCUGUAUUUCUGGUUUGUACAGCUUGAAGGCAGUCUCAGAAACAUGCACCUCUACUGAAAUCAGUAUCUAAAAGUGUGAAAAGUGUAAUUGGCUGAUUUCCUCACUCAAGAUGGUGUGUGUACCUCGAUUUAGCAGAAUUGGGUGGUGAGAAUAUCAGCGAUGACAUGGGGACCCUCUGGUGAGUAGUCAUUGUUAUGGAUAUGUGACCCUGCAAAGCGAAACCAGUCGUUUUGGUAAAAAUUACAAAAUUAAGAUAUUGUGCUCAUGUGAACGGCCAUAAACUAAGCUUUCCAAUGACAUGUAUAUCGAGGGUAUUACACAAACUAUCGCUAAGCUAACCGCAUCCAAAGUUGACAUGGUUCUCCUGCCAUAAUAUGCCAGAAGAGGAGAAAUCACCUUUUUGAGCAGCGCGUGGACAACUGGAAUGACUGCAAAUGUGUUGAAUCUUCGCAAGACACAUGUUUUUCCGUGAAAUUAGUUCACGAUAUGAAACUGUAGACUCUAUACUGUCGAAUUAUGCGAAAACGUGAAAUUCAUCAUUUCAACCCGGAAGUUUGUUUAUUGUGGAUUUUCUCAAAACAACGUUGUGUGCAAAGCGACUGAUUUCGCUUUGAAUGGUGACAUAUGUCAUGGAAGUUAUAUUUCUGUUGUUUUGUUACAUUGUCUGUAACAUUUAUUACAUAAGUGAUAAUGAUGUUGAGAGAGAGAGAGAGAGAGAGAGAGAGAGAGAGAGAGAGAGAGGCAUUUGGUUUAUUCUCUCCAAAUGCCUGUGUAGUUAAAUCUGUGAACUUUAUUAUUACGACCGUAUUUCCGUCAAGGAUUUACAGGACACUGAAAGACCAGGGUGCAUGAAACUCGGUGGGCAUGUAAGCCCACAAGGAUGACACAGAACCAUUGUUUUUCAUUUUGAUCUGUCCCCCCAACACUCAUUUGAGGUACAGUGCCACUUUAAAAAUUAUACGGGAAAAACAAGGCACUGUAAUCACAGGUAUCUUUGGCUGACAGGUUCAAAACUGCCGGAAAUUUGAAGUGUAGGAUUAUGACACCAUCUGAAUGCAUGCCAAAUUUUAGGGAAUUCCGUUCAUGGGAGGCCAUAACACACACACACACACACACACACACACACACACACACACACACACACACACACAGUACACAAUUUGUCUUAAAUCUUACAUCUCAUUUUGAAUUAAGGCAAAUUUUCUUAAUCCAUUUGCAGAUAAAUUGUCUUAAAGGGAUAUUCCGCCUAAGAUGACUAAGAUUUCCGGUAAUUUUCCUAUUUAAAACUUGUCUCUUCUCAAGUAAGAAAGUGCAAUAAACCAACUGAAAAAGGCUGAUUUGACAUGGAACUAUACUCUCAUCAGGCGUAAUAAUCAAGGGAAGUUGCAAACAUACCAUGGGCGCAGUGAUAUCAUGCACUACUACUGCUUGUUGCCUAUGGGGACUAUUUUCAGAUAUCACUACGCCCAUGGUACGUUUGCAACUGGUACGUUUGAGAGUGUAGUUCAGCUUAAUGUCAAAUCAGCUUAGAAAAACGGCAGGUUUCAUUUUCAGUUGGUCUUAUUGCACUUUCUAACUUGAGAAGAGACACGUUUUAAAUGGGAAAUUAUCGGAAAUCUUAGUCACUUUUAAGCAUGAUGCUAGCAGGCGAGAUGCUAAUGGUCUAAUCCGAUUCAAUGAUCUAUGCUAGGCUGAAGCUAAAAGUUGUAUCGCCAGACUCACAGAAUGGCUGGAUGAAUGGGAAAAAUGUAAAUAUUGAUUGUUUUGCUCGAGGGGAGGUGGAAAAUUAGCUUAUUUCCAGAAAUGGCGGAAUAUCCCUUUAAUUUAAGAACAUUGUGACUUAUUUUAAGUCAAAUAAUCUUACAAGAAAGCUUGGUAAGGUAUCACUUUUUGCAGUGUAGGUAAAACAGAUUGUUUUAAUGUUUUAUACACCAACAGAACCCUUGACCUUGAGAAAGGGAGAUCUGUGAAAAAUGGCUGGAUUUCUCCUCCAUGCAUUUCUCUGAAUGUCUUGUUUUAUUUCUUUUAGUUUAUCUUUGGAUUCAUUAUUGAUCAUUUUGAUACAUUUUGCAUCAUGCAUAAUGGAAUUCACAGCCUUGUUUGUUUGUUUUUUUUACAAAUGUGGUAGCGGUAAUGUUGCCACCUGACAAUUGAUUGGCCUGAGGUCGAAACCGUAUCACUUUAGAUAAAAACACUGGCUAAAAACCAGGCAGAUGUAUAGAUGUCGGCCAGGGGUUGCCAGGGUUUUUUUUAUCUUUACUUUGCUAAAUUGUAAUGAAGGAUAUGCUUUUGAUAUUAUUUUAAUAUUUUUUUUAUUUCGUUUAUUAUUAUUAUUGUUAUUAUUAUUAUUAUUAUUUAGAUAUCUCAGCUGACCCCAUUUGGAUUUCAGGUGACUACAUAAACAAGAUUGGGAAACUAUGAUGUAGGCCUAUAUGACUGUAUUACUACAGUUUUUAAUAUAGGUACAAUAUUAUAUAGGUAUGGUAUAGGUACAAUAUAGCACAUUAUCUGGGUGCAUCCGAAAGUUUUUAGAUGUUUACAUUAGGCUAAAUCUUUGAAACAUGCUUCUAGUCUAGACCAGGCUAAGCGUGAGCUUGUAGCCAUCUGCAUUCGAUAGGCUAUAUUCACCAGACCCAUGAUGCAACUGUGUUCUGUUCCCUGGGCAUAUGCUUGCCUAUCUCUGUAUAUUAUCUGCAGCGUUAGGACCUCCUCUCCGAUGAAAUUGCUAGUCUGCGGGGCAGCGAAGUUAUAGGCUAUGCCCUUCUGUCACACGUCUGAUAAAUUAGGCUACGGCACAAAUUAAUGGUUGACUGUAAUCCAACUGGUGGCCAAAAGAAAAGGAAACUAAACGUUUUCCUAAUUAGAAAAUAUUUCCUAAUUGUGUGUGGUCAAAUAAAGAGGCAUAGCCUGCAAUCAGGGUAGUAAUGUAUGUCUUUUGUCUUUGUUUUCUUUUAUCAAGUUUGUCAUUUCUUUUAUUGUUCAUUAGCUUGACUGUCCUUUGUUAUGAUUUUGUAGGCCUACUCUAACCCUUAAGCCUUCUUUUUUUGCUAUGACUUGUUGUGCUGAAGUGUUGAACUGAACCUUGCCCUCAUCCCCUGUGUCCUGAUGGCUAAGCUGAGUGUGUUUUCUCUUACUGCUUUCACACAUUUAUCAAUACUGGUAAGACAAAAUCUUGCGUCUACAUUCUGAGGUGAAAGCGGCUAAAAGUGCUGUAGUGCAUAUGCCUGGCCAGUUCAUGGCGCUGUGAUGGUGCAGAGCUAUACUGUAGAUAUAGGUUGUGGAGGCUUCAUAUUGUUUAAUGUUGAGUUGGGGGGGUUGGGCUAUGCCGUCAUAAUAUUGCCGGCUCAGCGUCUACAUCGGUUAACAUUGGUUACAAUGACUACUAGAGGUGACAUUGGCCUGUCACCUCUUGUAGUGAAUAAUAGUGUUUCACCUGUUCUUUCGUUCUUUUUUACAGUUACCCAUUCCUUUCUUUUCUCUUCUGCCAGUGAAUUCAAUAAAUUAUUCUAUUUUGUUGGACAUGUCUCUGUUUUUCCUUUAUUCUACUACCAAUAUGUGUUUGCUACUAAGCUGAGUUAAUACUGAGGGCCAGAUGUAGCCUACUAACGUUUUGCGCCCAUUUCAGGCGUAACGUGCGCGUAUAAACAUGGGGAGGAUAUGUACAAACAGGCUGCAAUGAGAGAAACACGCAGACUGCCUGCCGUGGGAGCUGAGAAUGGCUAUUUGCGCUUUUCUGUGUCAUACAUAUUAAUUCCUGGGCGGAUCAGCUGUAAAUGGGUGUAACGUGCAAGUACAGGGGAGGAGAGGUGCUAAUAGCGAUUGAUUAAGUAUUCCACCAUAUGUAUGAAAACAGCGCACGUCUAUUUUGCGUUGAAAAACGUCCGCCUUCUGAAAGCAGGUGUAAUCCAAAUUGCGGUUAAAUGUGUCUAUUAGAAAAACGUCUAGAGACAGCUGAAUCAAUAUUCAGAGCAUCAGUUUUCACUAUGUCAAAAGCAACCUUAUUUUGUUUGCCUCUCUAAAAUCGUAUUUUCUCUUUCACGACAUAGCCUACACUACCCAAUCUGUUAGACAGGCAUUAAGUCAUAUCCUUAGUCUACCUGCAGUAAAUAGUUCAAAGUAUUUUUUUAAGUGGAUUAGUAGAACUACUAGGCCUACUCUGUCUGUCGCUGCUUGUUGACAUCUAU
Molecule: long non-coding RNA, 4495 nt
Organism: Sardina pilchardus (European sardine)
Lineage: Eukaryota; Metazoa; Chordata; Actinopteri; Clupeiformes; Clupeidae
Exons: 3
Source: RefSeq, a predicted model, not a curated record